UACGUAGGUGGCAAGCGUUGUCCGGAUUUACUGGGCGUAAAGGGUGCGUAGGCGGCUGUUUAAGUGAGAUGUGAAAUACCCGAGCUCAACUUGGGUGCUGCAUUUCAAACUGGAUAUCUAGAGUGCAGGAGAGGAAAGCGGAAUUCCUAGUGUAGCGGUGAAAUGCGUAGAGAUUAGGAAGAACACCAGUGGCGAAGGCGGCUUUCUGGACUGUAACUGACGCUGAGACACGAAAGCGUGGGUAGCAAACAGG
Molecule: ribosomal RNA, 253 nt
Filed under: uncultured bacterium
Lineage: Bacteria
Description: partial 16S ribosomal RNA
Rfam family: Bacterial small subunit ribosomal RNA
Source: RNAcentral